Molecule: ribosomal RNA, 827 nt
Filed under: uncultured Alphaproteobacteria bacterium
Lineage: Bacteria; Pseudomonadati; Pseudomonadota; Alphaproteobacteria
Description: bacterial SSU rRNA
Rfam family: Bacterial small subunit ribosomal RNA
Source: RNAcentral
CUUGCUGCAUGCUUUAUACAUGCAAGUCGAACGGAGGCCCUAGCUUGCUAGGUGUCCUUAGUGGCGCACGGGUGAGUAACACGUGGGAACAUACCUCAUAGUACGGAAUAACUGCGGGAAACUGUAGCUAAUACCGUAUAUUCCAGCAAUGGGAAAGAUUUAUCGCUAUGAGAUUGGCCCGCGCAAGAUUAGUUUGUUGGUAAGGUAAUGGCUUACCAAGGCUACGAUCUUUAGCUGGUUUGAGAGGAUGAUCAGCCACACUGGGACUGAGACACGGCCCAGACUCCUACGGGAGGCAGCAGUAGGGAAUAUUGGACAAUGGGGGAAACCCUGAUCCAGCAAUGCAGCGUGAGUGACGAAGGCCUUAGGGUUGUAAAACUCUUUCAUCGGUGAGGAUAAUGACAGUAGCCGAAGAAGAAGGACCGGCUAAUUCCGUGCCAGCAGCCGCGGUAAUACGGAAGGUCCUAGCGUUGUUCGGAAUUACUGGGCGUAAAGCGCAUGUAGGCGGAACAGAAAGUUAGAAGUGAAAUCCCUGGGCUCAACCUAGGAAUUGCUUUUAAAACUUCUGUUCUGGAAUUCAGGAGAGGAAAAUGGAAUAUCCAGUGUAGAGGUGAAAUUCGUAGAUAUUGGAUGGAACACCAGUGGCGAAGGCGAUUUUCUGGACUGAUAUUGACGCUGAGAUGCGAAGGCAUGGGUAGCAAACGGGAUUAGAUACCCCGGUAGUCCAUGCAGUAAACGAUGGGUGCUAGUCGUCGGACUUAUGUUCGGUGUCGUAGCUAACGCGUUAAGCACCCCGCCUGGGGAGUACGGUCGCAAGAUUAAAACUC